GCGGUAGCUCAGGGGUAGAGCACCUGUUUUGCAUGCAGAAGGUUCCAGGCCCAAUCCCUUGCAUCUCCA
This is a non-coding RNA of Podarcis lilfordi (Lilford's wall lizard), 69 nucleotides long. The record is from the annotation of a GenBank genome assembly. NCBI's taxonomy places the organism in Eukaryota, Metazoa, Chordata, Lepidosauria, Squamata, Lacertidae.